GACGAACGCUGGCGGCGUGCCUAAUACAUGCAAGUUGAGCGCUGAAGGUUGGUACUUGUACCAACUGGAUGAGCAGCGAACGGGUGAGUAACGCGUGGGGAAUCUGCCUUUGAGCGGGGGACAACAUUUGGAAACGAAUGCUAAUACCGCAUAAAAACUUUAAACACAAGUUUUAAGUUUGAAAGAUGCAAUUGCAUCACUCAAAGAUGAUCCCGCGUUGUAUUAGCUAGUUGGUGAGGUAAAGGCUCACCAAGGCGAUGAUACAUAGCCGACCUGAGAGGGCGAUCGGCCACAUUGGGACUGAGACACGGCCCAAACUCCUACGGGAGGCAGCAGGAAGGAAUCUUCGGCAAUGGACGAAAGUCUGACCGAGCAACGCCGCGGGAGUGAAGAAGGUUUUCGGAUCGUAAAACUCUGUUGGUAGAGAAGAACGUUGGUGAGAGUGGAAAGCUCAUCAAGUGACGGUAACUACCCAGAAAGGGACGGCUAACUACGUG
Molecule: ribosomal RNA, 497 nt
Filed under: uncultured bacterium
Lineage: Bacteria
Description: partial 16S ribosomal RNA
Rfam family: Bacterial small subunit ribosomal RNA
Source: RNAcentral